AAGUGGCUUGGGAGUUGGGAUUUCUAGUUUCUUCUAUUUCUAACGGGAUCUGUUUUCUUGGCUAUGGUUCUUUGUGGGAUUUUACACAGAAAAGUUAAAUUUUCAACUAACAAGCUAGUUUUGAGGUCCCAUGACUGUCUGUGAGACAGCAUACCGUUCCUGGAGAAAUAUUAACACUUUUCAUAUUCAUAUUUCAAAUAAAUAAGCUCAACCCAGGACUCCAAUUCUUCCUGGGUCACAAACUCACAUGGAGAAAUGUCAAGUUUUCAAGCAAUUUUACUCAAUUUUAAUAAUUUCUCAGAAUAAACAUGGAGUUAGGGUGACUUUUGCUGCUUACCCUGGGG
RNAcentral lists this long non-coding RNA (344 nucleotides) under Manihot esculenta (cassava). RNAcentral describes it as "long non-coding RNA (MESC_LNC008481)". Lineage: Eukaryota; Viridiplantae; Streptophyta; Magnoliopsida; Malpighiales; Euphorbiaceae. The record is from RNAcentral.